GACGAACGCUGGCGGCGUGCCUAAUACAUGCAAGUAGAACGCUGAAGGAGGAGCUUGCUCUUCUGGAUGAGUUGCGAACGGGUGAGUAACGCGUAGGUAACCUGCCUGGUAGCGGGGGAUAACUAUUGGAAACGAUAGCUAAUACCGCAUAAGAGUAGAUGUUGCAUGACAUUUACUUAAAAGGUGCAAUUGCCUCACUACCAGAUGGACCUGCGUUGUAUUAGCUAGUUGGUGGGGUAACGGCUUACCAAGGCGACGAUACAUAGCCGACCUGAGAGGGUGAUCGGCCACACUGGGACUGAGACACGGCCCAGACUCCUACGGGAGGCAGCAGUAGGGAAUCUUCGGCAAUGGACGGAAGUCUGACCGAGCAACGCCGCGUGAGUGAAGAAGGUUUUCGGAUCGUAAAGCUCUGUUGUAAGAGAAGAACGAGUGUGAGAGUGGAAAGUUCACACUGUGACGGUAUCUUACCAGAAAGGGACGGCUAACUACGUG
RNAcentral lists this ribosomal RNA (495 nucleotides) under uncultured bacterium. RNAcentral describes it as "partial 16S ribosomal RNA". It matches the Rfam family "Bacterial small subunit ribosomal RNA", at positions 28 to 507 of the family's 1533-position model. The record is from RNAcentral.